GAACUCGCUGCGCUGGAUGAACUCUGUCCGAGAUUUGCCCGCGCUUCUCCUGCCCAGAAGGCUGCGGGGACGCUCCCGCAACGCUUUGAGCUGUACCCAGUCCCCCUGAGCUGAGGAACCAACAACGGGCGCGGCGGCAUGGUGGAGCUGCGGCCUGGGCAUGGGCCGGUGUCCUUGCGCGGAUUCCGGGCGAUAUAGACUGCGCCUCUGGCAGUCCUUGAGUGGCUCCAGGGAUGCUCUUCCCAAACGUCCCAGCCCUCGGGAGCAGAACUUUCGUCGUGUGCCUGCUUCGACCAUGGCUCUCUGUGUGCAUCCUGGGGGUCGCAUGGGAGGAACACUGCUCUCGGACUGGUGACUCUCUGCUUCUGUUUCUUUGGAGCCGAGCCAUGGAGUCCAGGCUCUGAGCGGCUCCUCCGGCUCCUGGAUCCGCCAAGCAUACUCUCGGGGAGUUGCUGCCCCUAGGCUUGCCUGUGCGUCCUAGGGACGGCGUGGCGCAUUGCAGGGCUAUGGGGCACAGACCCACCAGGACGUGAAAGGGUAGACCUUGCAUGGCCUCAGAUGCCAGCUUGCAAGGCUUGGCGCCCGGGGCUGCUAGGAGCCAGAGUUCACCGCUGGGUGCUGGGUUUUCGGCUCGCUGUCCGCCUGUCCCGCUCUACAUUGCAGAUAGUUUUGGCUGACCUGCGAUAAGGCCCCAGAGAGGGUGUCUGGUGGGUGGGAACAGCCAGGGUCACUCCUUGAGGCUUCGGAGGAGGAGGAACCUAGUGGGGACUGCAUCCCAGCUCUGCAAGAAAGGAGGCUUGGCCUGAUACAGACUGCACCUGUGGAUUCCUUUUCCAAAACUAGACUGAGCUUCCGGUUUAAAGAGCUCCUGUGCUACUUGGAAGCCGGGCUGUUUUAGAAUAUUUCAUAAGUUGGUUUGGGAUGCUGACCUAUGUCUGAUUACUAUCCUAGAAUGUAGAAACAACUAAAUUAAUCUAUUUAUUUAUGAAAAACCAAAGUUGCCUUAAGACCAUUCUGGGGCAGUUUAAUUGUCCAGCUCACCCAGAGAAAGAAGUUAGGUUUUUCUUCAUGUAGGUGUAGAAAGUACCAGAAACCCCACAGAGGGCUCCCAGCUGCCUAUGUUGCCUGGCAGAGGACAGAGCAGCCCUUCCUGCUCCAGACUCUCCACUGUGAUGGAGAUGGUCUGAAUUGACUGGCGAUGACUGCAUCAUUGAAGCACUUUCUCUGAAGGUCUCUCUCUGGUUUUUUACUAGGCAGCUCACAGGAGUGUUCAACCCCGAAUUCUAAUAAGGAU
Molecule: long non-coding RNA, 1294 nt
Filed under: Marmota monax (woodchuck)
Lineage: Eukaryota; Metazoa; Chordata; Mammalia; Rodentia; Sciuridae
Source: RNAcentral